UACGUAGGGGGCAAGCGUUGUCCGGAAUCAUUGGGCGUAAAGCGCGUGUAGGCGGUCCGGUAAGUCCGCUGUGAAAGUCCAGGGCUCAACCCUGGGAUGCCGGUGGAUACUGUCGGGCUAGAGUACGGAAGAGGCGAGUGGAAUUCCCGGUGUAGCGGUGAAAUGCGCAGAUAUCGGGAAGAACACCCGUGGCGAAGGCGGCUCUCUGGGACGGUACUGACGCUGAGACGCGAAAGCGUGGGGAGCGAACAGG
Molecule: ribosomal RNA, 253 nt
Filed under: uncultured bacterium
Lineage: Bacteria
Description: partial 16S ribosomal RNA
Rfam family: Bacterial small subunit ribosomal RNA
Source: RNAcentral